Molecule: ribosomal RNA, 587 nt
Filed under: Hansenula anomala
Lineage: Eukaryota; Fungi; Ascomycota; Saccharomycetes; Phaffomycetales; Wickerhamomycetaceae
Description: eukaryotic LSU rRNA
Rfam family: Eukaryotic large subunit ribosomal RNA
Source: RNAcentral
CGGAGGAAAAGAAACCAACAGGGAUUGCCUCAGUAACGGCGAGUGAAGCGGCAAAAGCUCAAAUUUGAAAUCUAGCACCUUCGGUGUUCGAGUUGUAAUUUGAAGAUGGCAACCUUGGGUUUGGCUCUUGUCUAUGUUCCUUGGAACAGGACGUCAUAGAGGGUGAGAAUCCCGUCUGAUGAGAUGCCCAUUCCUUUGUAAGGUGCUAUCGAAGAGUCGAGUUGUUUGGGAAUGCAGCUCUAAGUGGGUGGUAAAUUCCACCUAAAGCUAAAUAUUGGCGAGAGACCGAUAGCGAACAAGUACAGUGAUGGAAAGAUGAAAAGAACUUUGAAAAGAGAGUGAAAAAGUACGUGAAAUUGUUGAAAGGGAAGGGCAUUAGAUCAGACUUGGUGUUUUACGAUUAUCUUCUCUUCUUGAGUUGUGCACUCGUAUUUCACUGGGCCAGCAUCGAUUCGGAUGGUAAGAUAAGAACAGUUGAAUGUGGCUCUUCGGAGUGUUAUAGCUUCUGUUGAUAUUGCCUGUCUGGAUCGAGGGCUGCGUCUUUUGACUAGGAUGCUGGCGUAAUGAUCUAAUGCCGCCCGUCUUGA